AUUCAUUUAACAAAUACUUUGGAGUGUUUACCAUGUGCCAAGUGCUGUUCUAAUAGACAUAAGCUGUGAGGUUAUGCUUAUCUGAUUCUCACAGCAACAGCUUUCGAGAUAUGAAUUGGUAUACUCAUUUGACAGAUGAGGAAAUUGAAUUCAUGUAGUGAGAAAGGAAGAGCUGCAAUUCAGGGUUACUGGUUUCUCCUGCACUAAGCACUGAGCCACACUAGAAGAGAAGGCAUGAGGAAGACAAAAGUGAGAAGGCACUCAGGAAAUAUUAGUUGCAUGAACGAAGGCUGCAUUUUCAUUAGAACAACAUGCAGUUCAACCCCUUCAUGUUUCAAUGAGGGUUCAGAUACCCAGAGGGCUAUGCUAUCAUCCUGGAGCCCACUCUGCUAACAAUUAGCAGAACGGAAGCCUUAAUUUCCAGAUUCUAGUGAACUUGAUGAGUCAAGACUAUUGCAAUUGGAAAUCUGUUCUCCUCUGCUGCUGCAUUCCCUGCUUAAUACUCAAGCCAGAAACCAGGAAGGCUGUGGCUUGCCUUUUCACUUCUUGUGUCCUGUUUAAGAAAUAUCUGCUAUCCCAAGCAUCUGGCAUCUUUCUUGACAUAUGUAGCAGUUGCUUUUUGACAGCUUGCUUCUUCAGUGAAUGAAUAAAUUAAUAAAGAGAAAUGUGAUGUUCAGUGAUCCAUUUUGCAGAUUGCAAACUCCUAGAGAAGGGCUCAACAGUGAGUGCUGAGGCUGCACAGAGGAGGAAGGCAGCACAAUGAUGGAAGGCUUCCUAAAGAGGCUCUUGAGUUUCUGCUUUCAAGUGACCCUCAGAAAUUCCUCCAUUCACUGCAGAGGUUCUGUUUCUCCUUGCUUUGUUCUGACUUUACGGCAGAACUAAGCUAAUGAGUUAGUUACUAUGGGUUAUCACUUGGAUUUGAAGAACCAUCAUUUCUAGGCAUUGCUGCUCAGAGUGGGUCUGCCCUCAGGGGAAGCUGUCUAACCAGAGCCUAACCCACUAGGGUUUUAUCAGAACCUAACUGACCUGAGGAAAAGAAAUACUCAACUCCAGCAAGCUCCAGCCUUCCAAAUGGAGGAGGAGAAAACCCAACUCCAGCCCACUUCAGCUAUCUUGUCCCACAUAAAGGGGAAGUGGAAGAAACCUGAGAAGCAGGCAUGAAGUUCACAGUCCAGAGGUACAGACACAUCAGAGUUCAGUAUCUGAUGAAUUAGAUGCAAAAACCUCAACAAAGUAUUAGCAAA
RNAcentral lists this long non-coding RNA (1244 nucleotides) under Homo sapiens (human). Its description in RNAcentral is "cancer susceptibility 19". The record is from RNAcentral. Lineage: Eukaryota; Metazoa; Chordata; Mammalia; Primates; Hominidae.